Molecule: ribosomal RNA, 468 nt
Filed under: uncultured bacterium
Lineage: Bacteria
Description: partial 16S ribosomal RNA
Rfam family: Bacterial small subunit ribosomal RNA
Source: RNAcentral
GACGAACGCUGGCGGCGUGCUUAACACAUGCAAGUCGAACGGAAAGGCCCUGCUUUUGUGGGGUGCUCGAGUGGCGAACGGGUGAGUAACACGUGAGUAACCUGCCCUUGACUUUGGGAUAACUUCAGGAAACCGGGGCUAAUACCGGAUAGGAGCUCCUGCUGCAUGGUGGGGGUUGGAAAGUUUCGGCGGCUGGGGAUGGACUCGCGGCUUAUCAGCUUGUUGGUGGGGUAGUGGCUUACCAAGGCUUUGACGGGUAGCCGGCCUGAGAGGGUGACCGGCCACAUUGGGCCUGAGCUGCGGCACAGACUCCUACGGGAGGCAGCAGUGGGGAAUGUUGCACAAUGGGCGGAAGCCUGAUGCAGCAACGCCGCGUGCGGGAUGACGGCCUUCGGGUUGUAAACCGCUUUCGCCUGUGACGAAGCGUGAGUGACGGUAAUGGGUAAAGAAGCACCGGCUAACUACGUG